Molecule: small nuclear RNA, 106 nt
Organism: Cercocebus atys (sooty mangabey)
Lineage: Eukaryota; Metazoa; Chordata; Mammalia; Primates; Cercopithecidae
Source: Ensembl
CUGCUCACUUUGGCAGCUCAUAUAUUAAAACUGGAAUAUUACAGAGAAGAUAACAUGGCCCCCGUACAAAGAUGACAUGCAAAUUCGUGAAGCUUUUCUUUUUAAA